Molecule: ribosomal RNA, 375 nt
Filed under: Triticum aestivum (bread wheat)
Lineage: Eukaryota; Viridiplantae; Streptophyta; Magnoliopsida; Poales; Poaceae
Description: partial small subunit ribosomal RNA
Source: RNAcentral
AUGCUUCAAGAGAAGAGAAGAGAAUUGUCAGAUAAGGAGAGGCAUGGUGUUUACUUCGCCUUGCUGGUAAUCGAGCUCAGAGAUGGGUCUGUUCAACCAGACGACAAGCUGCUAGUCUCAAACCUAUUAGACAUAAGUGUACGAUCUGUUGAAAGAAUUUGGGAAGAAGCCAAAAAGCAAAUUGCCGAUGGCAAAGAAGUAGAUGUCUCAAGCAAGAAGCCAGGAAGAUCUGGCCGAAAGAGAAAGGAGCUGGAUCUAGAGAGGACCUCAACAAUCCCACUGAAUAAAAGAAGAACAAUUUGAUCUCUGGCACGGUCUCGAGGUGUGGCCCGAUCGACCCUACAUAAGAGGUUCCAGUUGAAUGAGCUCAACUAG